ACCAGAUGUGGUGGUCCAUACCUGCAAUCCUAGCUACUGUAGAGGCUGAGGCUGCUAGGUCUCCUGAGAUUUAGUGAACUAUUCCUAUUGGGAGUCCUCAUUAAGUCUUGGCAUUAAUAUGAUGAGCCUCUGAGAGAUGGGGUUCAUGAGGUUGCCUAAGUAGGGUUGAAUCAACCCAUAUCAGAAAUGGAACUUGCCAAAGCUCCCAUGCUUACCAGGAUUGGGAUCAGACCUGUGAGUAACAUUUCCAGGCAGCUUUA
RNAcentral lists this small RNA (260 nucleotides) under Phascolarctos cinereus (koala). RNAcentral describes it as "Metazoan signal recognition particle RNA (ENSPCIG00000023011.2)". Lineage: Eukaryota; Metazoa; Chordata; Mammalia; Diprotodontia; Phascolarctidae. The record is from RNAcentral.